RNAcentral lists this ribosomal RNA (253 nucleotides) under uncultured bacterium. Its description in RNAcentral is "partial 16S ribosomal RNA". It matches the Rfam family "Bacterial small subunit ribosomal RNA", at positions 524 to 776 of the family's 1533-position model. The record is from RNAcentral.
UACGUAGGGUGCAAGCGUUGUCCGGAAUUAUUGGGCGUAAAGAGCUCGUAGGCGGUUUGUCGCGUCUGCUGUGAAAACGCGGGGCUCAACUCCGCGCCUGCAGUGGGUACGGGCAGACUAGAGUGCAGUAGGGGAGACUGGAAUUCCUGGUGUAGCGGUGGAAUGCGCAGAUAUCAGGAAGAACACCGAUGGCGAAGGCAGUUCUCUGGGCCGUAACUGACGCUGAGGAGCGAAAGCGUGGGGAGCGAACAGG